AAAGAUAUGAUUUUCAGGGCAGAUAAGAUUGAUCUUAAAAGCUUGGAUGUUCAGCUGGAGAAACACUUAAGCCGCGUUUGGUCUAGAAGCACUGAUCCUCAAAAGCCUAAGGAGGUUUGGGAGAUUGAUUUAUCAAAGUUGGAGAUAAAAUAUCUUGUAGCUCGGGGAACAUAUGGUACGAUAUAUCGCGGUACUUAUGAUAAGCAAGAUGUUGCAGGUAUGUAUUACCCUCUUUUUUUCUUUUUCGUUUUUACUUACAAACAAGUUUGCCUCUUUCCUUUCUGAUAAUCAAAGAUGAUAAAAUGGAGACAUGUUGGCAUUUUUCAAGUUUUUUCUCUCCAGAAUCUAUGUUUUCUGUUACCUCAACUUUUGUUCCUUGAAAGUGUUCUUCUAGGCCAAAUAGCGUGACAUAAUGUGGCUAUUCAUAGGUAAUAGGUUUCAACAUAAACCCCAAGUGUAACACCCCCAUCUUAAAUUAAGACGAGGAGUUACCUACAAACCCAAAACCUGCAAACAGAGCGCUAAUAUGUUCGAAACAAUAAUAAACAGGUCUAAUAAUUCCUAAAAUGAUUUAAAUCCUCCAAAACAAUUAAAUCCGAAUAAUGCGAAUAAAUAGAAUCUCUAACAAUAAAAUCCGAAUAAAUGCUAGAAGUCCAUAAAUCCUAAAAAUGCGAAAAGAAUGGGGUGCUCUCCAUCACACAGUCCCGAAUCCCCCUAAGUACCUGCCAGAAGAAGAAUACGGCAUGAGCCAAAUGCCCAGUACGGAUUGGAAGCAUUUAUAAAACCAGAAACACUUAAAAUAUUUUGACAGUAAUAUAAAUCAGUUAUUUUUUUUUAAAUAACAUGCUGAAGCAACAAGGGGUUAGGAUAUUUCAUACCGAGAUCAUAUCAGAACAUAUACAGAUACACACAUCAUAGGGUACCUAAUGUGUGCAACAAAUCGGAUAACGUGUACGGCAUAUACAACGUCACCGUCAAAUCACCAAUCAUAUCAACUGAACUGGGUGCACCCACGUAUCCUGAACAUAUAAUCAAAAUGGCCAAAGCUCCUCCCAAGAGCUAACAGAAGGAUACGCCGUGACCAAUCACACUGUCACGGAAGUGUCAUGUCAAUGGUGCCGCAAAGACAUGGCUGUAGUACCCCUACAGCUGGGUAACUCGGUAUACCCUAUAUCUCUCUAAGGGUUCAAAACAAAAUAGUUUUCACAACUUAAAAAUCACAUGGUACAGAUAUUUCAAAUAAACUGAGCAAAUCAUAUUUUGUAAAAUCUUUGAAAACCGCAUAACAAAUAUUUCAAUCUUUCAAAACAGAUUUUUAAAAUAUUUUUCGGAAAUCAAAACAGUCAAAUGAAUAGCACUGAACAAAACUUAUCAAAUCGGACGGAUCAAAAGAGGCCAGAUCAAAAUAUUUAAUAUCGAAAGGAGUAGCGCUGAAUAAAAGAGAACGAAAUCCGUACAAACACACCGAACAGAAAGGAUCGAAACAGAGUAAACAAAUUUAACACUAAUUGAAGUAGUGCGGAAUAAAAGAGAAUAAAAUCCGUACCUCGAAAAUAGCUAAUCGAACACUCACGAGAAUCCGGAAAUAAUUCGCUAAACUCCCGACUCCGAACCUAAAUAUAAAAUUAUAAUUAAUUACAAGCCAUCGGCUUAAUAACUACAUAAUACGUGAUAGAAUGCGUGUCCUGUAAUAUAACUCAUGCUCGUGCUUCAGUCACAGUACUCGUACACUAGAUUAACUUUACCCACUGUGAAUUACUGUACUAAACAUGGCACAUGCGAGGGUGUGAGUAUUAAUAUGCACCUCAACAAUCAUAUAUCAUGGCAGGAGCUAAUGGUUCAUCACCGUACAAGAAGCAUUCAUUAUAAUAAUAAUAAAUUUAUAAGUAUGUAAUCUACCUGAAUUAAUGAAUCAAAAAUCCUGCUCCUGUGUUUCUUUCCUUCUCGUCUACGCGCCUCCGUUUCUUAACAUCUAGGGCUUAAUAAGAUUGUGUUCUGAUGCGAAGGUCUUAUGUGAAUAUAUACAGUCCUCCUGGAUAUCCUAUUACUACUAUAACUCUAAUAAUUAAUAUUAACCGUUUUAUUAUCUAAUUACUAAAUCUAUUCUAAAUCAAAUCAUUUUAAAAUACUAAGUAUUAUUACUAACUUAUAUUACUAAUUCUUUUUUAAACCAAAUUACCAAACUAAUAUUAUUAAUACUAUUCUAAUUCAGAUUUACUAAUAAUAAUAAUAAAUAAAUGCAGAUAUUACAUAUAUACCCCCUUAAAAAGGAUUCCGUCCCCGGAAUCUAACGAAACUAAUACUCGUACCUGAAUCGAAUAAGUGCGGAUAUCUCUCACGAAUAGAUUCCUCUAAUUCCCAAGUAGCCUCUCGCUCCGAAUGAUUCUUCCACAAAACUUUGACAAACAAAAUAUUUUUCUUCCUCAUUACUCGCUCCUCUCGAUCUAAAAUAGCUUCCGCUUCUUCCUCACAAGAUAGAUCCUCCCUAAUCUUAUGUAAUGGAUACUGAACCACGUGAAACGGAUGAUACUUAUAGCCCUUCAGAACAGACACAUGAAACACAUUAUGCACAUGAGACAACUGCGGUGGCAAAGCAACUCUAUAUGCCACCUCACCCACUCUCUCUAUAACAUCAAAAGGACCCACAUAUCUCGGACUAAGUUUCCCUUUCAUACCAAAACGCUUAACACCCUUACAAGGAGACACUUUCAAGAACACAUGAUCACCGGGUUCAAAUCCACCAAACUUUCUCUUCUGAUCUGCAUAAACCUUUUGACGUGAUUGAGCCUUCUGUAAAUUUUCUCUAGCCUGCGCCACCUUCUCAUUAGUCACUCUAACCAACUCUGGCCCUUCAAUAUCUCUCUCUCCAACCUCAUCCCAACAAGUCGGUGCCCUACACUUCCUACCAUACAAAGCCUCAAAUGGUGGCAUGCCAAUACUUGCGUGCCAGCUGUUAUUAUAUGCAAACUCAACAAGAUACAAAUACUUAUCCCAAUCGCCUGUCCACUCUAAGGCACAAGCUCUCAACAUGUCCUCCAAUGUCUGAAUCGUCCUCUCUGACUGUCCAUCUGUCUGCGGAUGAAAGGCCGUACUAAAGUUAAGUUUUGUUCCCCAAGCUCGCUGAAAUCCCUUCCAAAAGUGUGAUGUGAACCUCGUAUCUCUGUCAGAAACUAUAGACACAGGCAUACCAUGAAGUCUAACAAUAUCCCUCUGAAAAAUCUCCGCCAACUCAUGAACAGGAGUAGUCUCUCGAAUAGGCAAGAAAUGAGCAGAUUUAGUAAGUCUAUCAACUACCACCCAUAUGACAUCAUUCUUCCUAAAAGUCCUUGGUAAACCGGUCACAAAAUCCAUGGUUAUGUUUUCCCACUUCCAAAUCGGAAUAUCUAACUGCUGUAACAAUCCACUAGGUCUCUGAUGUUCUAUCUUCACCUGCUGACAUGUAAGACACUUCCCCACAAACUCCGCUAUAUCUCGCUUCAUUCCAUUCCACCAAAAAUGUGUCUUCAAAUCCCUAUACAUCUUAGUAGAACCCGGAUGAAUAGAAAAUGAAGAACUAUGAGCCUCGGUCAAAAUUGCCUCACGAAUUGCCGAAUCUGAAGGAACACAAAGUUUACUACCCAACCAUAUCACACCCUCAUCAUCAACACGAAAAUCGGUUUGCUUCCCAUUCGCCAACUCCAAUCUAAUAGCAUCCAACUCCGAAUCAUUCUUUUGAGCAUCCUUAAUCUUCGAAAUAAGAUUAGGUUCCACCUUUAAGCUUGCUACACUGCCAUCUGACCCUCUAACAUACAACUCCACAUCUAAGCGCUCUAAAUCUGAAAUAAGGUGCGGCUGAGUAACAAGAGAUGCCACACUCCCGAAGUUCUUCCUACUAAGAGCAUCCACCACCACAUUAGCUUUCCCCGGAUGGUACUGAAUCUUAGCAUCAUAAUCCUUAAGAAGUUCAAGCCACCUCCUCUGCCUCAUGUUCAACUCCUUCUGCGUAAAAAUGUACUUAAGACUCUUGUGAUCAGUGAAGAUAUCACAAGUCUCUCCAUAUAGAUAAUGUCUCCAAAUCUUCAAUGCAAAUACCACUGCUGCUAACUCCAAGUCAUGGGUCGGAUAAUUCACCUCAUAGGGCUUAAGCUGUCUAGAGGCGUAAGAAAUCACCUUCCCAUGCUGCAUAAGAACACACCCCAAACCUCUCUUAGAAGCAUCACUGUAAACCUGAUAUCCCCCACUGCCUGAUGGUAAAACAAGUAUAGGAGCUGACACCAACCUCUUCUUUAGCUCUUGGAAACUCUUCUCACGAUCAUCAUUCCACUCGAACUUAGCACCCUUCCUCAUUAGUUGAGUCAUUGGCAAGGCUAUGGACGAAAACCCCUCAACAAACCGCCUGUAGUAGCCUGCCAAACCCAAGAAACUCCUCACCUCUGUAACGUUGCUAGGUCUCGGCCAAUUAGUGAUAGCCUCGACUUUCGCAGGAUCCAACUCAAUUCCCUUACCAGACACAAUAUGCCCCAAAAAUGCAACCUGCUCCAACCAAAACUCACACUUUGAAAAUUUGGCAAACAAUUUCUUCUCUCUCAAAAUUCCCAACACAAUGCGCAAAUGCUCCUCAUGCUCCUCCUUACUCCUAGAGUAUAUCAAAAUAUCAUCAAUGAAGACCACAACAAACUUAUCAAGGUAAUCAUGAAAGAUCCGGUUCAUCAAGUCCAUAAACACGGCUGGUGCAUUCGUCAACCCAAAAGACAUCACAAGAAACUCAUAGUGACCAUAUCGAGUGCGAAAAGCUGUCUUAGGAAUAUCCUCAUCUCUUACCCGUAACUGGUGGUAACCCGAUCUCAAAUCAAUCUUUGAAAAAUACUUCGCCCCUUGCAACUGAUCGAACAAAUCAUCAAUACGUGGCAACGGAUACCUGUUCCUAACAGUCACCUUAUUCAACUCCCUGUAAUCAAUACAUAAUCUCAUUGACCCAUCCUUCUUCUUCACAAACAACACCGGAGCACCCCAUGGAGACACACUAGGCCUGAUAAAUCCCCUAUCCAACAACUCUUGCAACUGCUCUUUCAACUCAUGCAACUCUAGUGGUGCCAUCCUGUACGGCGUCUUAGAAAUAGGCUCUGCACCUGGAACAAGUUCAAUACUAAACUCCACUUCUCGAUGCGGUGGCAAACCUGGUAACUCAUCGGGAAACACAUCUGCAUAUUCACUCACAACUGCAUAAUCCUCUAUACGAGACUCAACCUUGGAUGUAUCCUUUACAAAAGCAAGAUAACCAUCACAACCCUUAGACAAGAGCUUCUUCGCCUUAAGAGCUGAAAUCAACUUAACCUCCCCUUUUGGCUGAGACCCCUGGUAUACAUACUCUGGCUUAUUCACAUCCCCAAAGAUAACCCGUUUCUCCUCACAAUUAAUCGUCGCCCUAUACUUACUCAACCAAUCCAUACCCAAAAUAAUGUCAAAGUCAUGCAUCAUCAUCGGAAGCAAGUUGACCUUAUAAUUUCUAUCCCCCACAACUAUCAAACACUCUCGGUACACAUCAGAUAUAAUAACAGAAGUCCCCAUAGGGGUAGCAAUAGACAUAUGCGGAGAUAAUAAUGAAGGUAAGACACCAAGAUAACGAACAUAUGAUAGGGAUACCACAGAAUGAGUCGAACCAGUAUCAAAUAACACAUAAGCAUCACGUGUACCCACAAAAACCGUUCCGGAAACAGUACCUGGAUUUGUUGCUGCCUGAGAAGAAGUCAAUGCGAAGACUCUGCCUGUAGGAUUCUGCUGAUUCUGCUGACCUCCACUGCCACUACCUCCAUCACCAUUAUUACGUGGACAGUCCUUUAACCUAUGAUCCAUCGAACCACACGAGAAACAUGCCCCAGUCUGUUUAUAACAAGCUCUGCCCGGAUGGUGUCUACCACAUGUAGCACAAGGAGCCACCGGAAUCAUAUUGGGGUUACCCCCAUACGCUGGAUAACGUCCCUGUCCCCUUUGACGAUUCUGCCACUGUCUAGGCUGCUGCUGAAACUGCUGAGUCUGCCCCUGCUGAGCCUGCCCCUGACCACUAUACUGAUUCUGCCUCUGACCAUGAGCUGUAUGACCUCCCCUAUUCUGGUUCUGUCCACGCCACUGUCCAUACCGACUGUUCUGACCACCAUACCCCUGUCUACCCUGUGCUGUGACUAGCUGAUCAUCUCUACCCCUCUUACGACCACUGUCAGAUCUGUUAGUCCGGAAGUCUAUACGCUCCUUCUCAACAUCCUUGGCUGCAUCAGCCACCUCUGCUACAUUCUGAAAUCUGGAAGAAAUGAUGGACAUCCUAAGUGAAGACUUCAACCCCCAUUUAAAUUUUUCAGCCUGCUGUGCUGCAGUCCCUGCAGAAGUCCCAGCAAAUCCCGCCAACCUGAUAAAUCUCGCAAGAUACUCAGUGAUACUCUCAUCAUGCUUCUGCUCAAUAGAAUUAAACUCUCUCAUAUAACCAUCCUUCUCUGCCUUUGAGAAGUACUGCUCAUAAAACAAAUCUGUGAACCCCUGCCAAGUCAAUGCCUCAACAAAUGCAUCACCCCUGAUAGUCUUCACUCCUCUCCACCACCUCUGAGCAUCCCCCUCUAACUUAUACACAGCCAACCUCACCUUUGUAGCGUCAUCACAUCCCAAUGCAUCAAAAAUCUUCUCAAGAUGAACAAUCCAAUUUUCAGCAUCAAUAGGCUGUGGUGCUGAAUGAAAAGAAUCCGGUUUCUGCUUAACGAACCUAUCGAACCAAGCUAGUGCAUCAGGCUGAUUUUGUUGCUCUUCAUUAUUUCCUGGGUUUCCCUGAUUUUGCCCAGCUUGUUGCAAAGCCUGAGUCACUGCUUGAGCUAUCAACUGAGCUAACUCAGCUGCACCAAUGUUAACGUUAUCGCGCCUAGGAUUCUCACGUCUAGGAGGCAUCUACAAUAUAAGAAACGAAGCGAAUAAGAAAACGAGAUUGAAUAAGAAAAUAGUACAAACAGAUGUCAAAUGAAUUGCGCAGAUGAAGUGAGCAGUUGAAAUGAAUUUAAACAGAAUACCCAUCUUAACGUCUACCCACUCUCACAGGUCAACCUAAAUAGGUUUUCUACAGGAAAGAACCUCGCUCUGAUACCAACUUUGUAACACCCCCAUCUUAAAUUAAGACGAGGAGUUACCUACAAACCCAAAACCUGCAAACAGAGCGCUAAUAUAUUCGAAACAAUAAUAAACAGGUCUAAUAAUUCCUAAAAUGAUUUAAAUCCUCCAAAACAAUUAAAUCCGAAUAAUGCGAAUAAAUAGAAUCUCUAACAAUAAAAUCCGAAUAAAUGCUAGAAGUACAUAAAUCCUAAACAACGAAAAGAAUGGGCUGCUCUCCAUCACACAGUCCCGAAUCCCCCUAAGUACCUGCCAGAAGAAGAAUACGGCAUGAGCCAAAUGCCCAGUACGGAUUGGAAGCAUUUAUAAAACCAGAAACACUUAAAAUAUUUUGACAGUAAUAUAAAUCAGUAGUUUUUUUAAAAUAACAGGCUGAAGCAACAAGGGGUUAGGAUAUUUCAUACCGAGAUCAUAUCAGAACAUAUACAGAUACACACAUCAUAGGGUACCUAAUGUGUGCAACAAAUCGGAUAACGUGUACGGCAUAUACAACGUCACCGCCAAAUCACCAAUCAUAUCAACUGAACUGGGUGCACCCACGUAUCCUGAACAUAUAAUCAAAAUGGCCAAAACUCCUCCCAAGAGCUAACAGAAGGAUACGCCGUGACCAAUCACACUGUCACGGAAGUGUCAUGUCAAUGGUGCCGCAAAGACAUGGCUGUAGUACCCCCACAGCUGGGAAACUCGGUAUACCCUAUAUCUCUCUAAGGGUUCAAACAAAACAAUUUUCACAACUUUAAAAUCACAUGGUACCUAUAUUUCAAAUAAACUGAACAAAUCAUAUUUUGUAAAUUCUUUGAAAACCGCAUCACAAAUAUUUCAAUCUCUCAAAACAGAUUUUUAAAAUAAUUUUCGGAAAUCAAAACAGUCAAAUGAAUAGCACAAAUCAACUUAGCAAAUCGGACGGAUUAAAAUAGGACAGAUCAAAUUCAUUUAAUAUCGAAAGGAGUAGCGCUGAAUAAAAUGAAUAGAAUCCGUACCUCGAAAAUAGCUAAUCGAACACUCACGAGAAUCCGGAAAUAAUUCGCUAAACUCCCGACUCCGAACCUAAAUAUAAAAUUAUAAUUAAUUACAAGCCAUCGGCUUAAUAACUACAUAAUACGUGAUAGAAUGCGUGUCCUGUAAUAUAACUCAUGCUCGUGCUUCAGUCACAGUACUCGUACACUAGAUUAACUUUACCCACUGUGAAUUACUGUACUAAACAUGGCACAUGCGAGGGUGUGAGUAUUAAUAUGCACCUCAACAAUCAUAUAUCAUGGCAGGAGCUAAUGGUUCAUCGCCGUACAAGAAGCAUUCAUUAUAAUAAUAAUAAAUUUAUAAGUAUGUAAUCUACCUGAAUUAAUGAAUCAAAAAUCCUGCUCCUGUGUUUCUUUCCUUCUCGUCUACGCGCCUCCGUUUCUUAACAUCUAGGGCUUAAUAAGAUUGUGUUCUGAUGCGAAGGUCUUAUGUGAAUAUAUACAGUCCUCCUGGAUAUCCUAUUACUACUAUAACUCUAAUAAUUAAUAUUAACCGUCUUAUUAUCUAAUUACUAAAUCUAUUCUAAAUCAAAUCAUUUUAAAAUACUAAGUAUUAUUACUAACUUAUAUUACUAAUUCUUUUUUAAACCAAAUUACCAAACUAAUAUUAUUAAUACUAUUCUAAUUCAGAUAUACUAAUAAUAAUAAUAAAUAAAUGCAGAUAUUACACCAAGCUAUUAUAGCAUAACAAGCUUCAUGUUACUCAUAAUUUUUAUAGAAUUAUGCAAGAUUCUUAUAAGCUUCUGUUGCUAACAUAUUUCUUUACUGUAGAGCAAAACGAGUACAUGAUAAUCAGUUCAUCUGCUUUGUGCUUAUACAGUUUGGAAGGUCGCUGAUAAUAAAAAUGGCUUAAGGAAGACAUCAUUUGGAUGCAAUAUGUUGAAUAUCAAAAUUAAUGGGGUUUCUAUUUGAUAAAUAAUUUUAUGUUGUUAGUUUAUCAGGUUCUUGCAUAUAAUAAUAUUUAUGGGUGGGUUGUAUGCCUGUAUAUCAAAAGAACACCCUAAGAUCCAAGAGCCAGGGAAAUAAUCAGUUUCUGAAAAGGUUGUCAAUCACAAGGCCACAUUUGAUUGUCAUACACUAAUAUCCUCAACUUUCUGCUUUUAUGACAAAUCUGAUAUGAUAGGUGUAUUGGAAAAUGUAACAAACAUAUAUAUGAAUUUAAUCACACAGCUGAUGACAUAAUGUUUAAAUAGAAGAAAGAUGUUAUUGGUCCCAAAUCGGAUCUCCCCAAAUGCCAUAUAUCUCAUUUUAAUUGUCUUUGAAAAUGCUAAAUGAGAUGGAUCCUCUAUAUUCACAUCAGCCAUACCACUUGAAACUUCCCAUUAUGCCACGUAAUCUCUGCCACCAGGGACGGAGGGAAGGUGGAGGCCUGGGGGUGCCCAGACCCCACCAUGCAUUCCGGAUGGCUAGUAUCUGUGUGAAUAAAAAUGAAUUUAGGAGUAUUUUAAUGGUUAGUGCCCCAAACAAUUUACAGCAGUAAUAGUUAUGUUAUUAUGAGCCCUCAUUUGUCAAUAACAUCCCUCACUUGUGUUUUCAUGUUCUGUUAGCAUUUAUCUCUCCUUUUCAUGUUUUAGUUACUUAUUCAUAUGAAUGUAAGUUUUUCCUCUCUCUCUAUUUAAUCUUUUUAUCAUAUAAUAUUCAUUGGAAAUAUUAUCUUAAAGGGCAUUUUUCUUACCAUGAUCAAUCAAUUUUCUAGUAACUUAUUCGAGAAUAUAUAAAUAAGUGAAUGUACGUCUAUUUUUUACUACAACAAUGGAAAUAUAGAAUUUUUAAUUCUUUUUUGUAUUUUCCAAAAAAUAAUAUUUUAAAUUUUAAUUAGUUUUUACAAAAAAUUGUGCGCCCAAACAAAUAAAUUAAUGGCUUCGUCCCUGUCUGUCACAUAAUUUGGGAAUUUUUUUUAGUACCCAUUUUGGGACCCCUAGCACUAUAAUUAGAAUAGUAGUUGAUGGUAUAUUAAAAAGCAUUAGACUUCUGUAUUUUCCCUACUGCAGGAAUGCUAAGUAAAUCUCAGAAACUUAAGAAAUAGUUGAUUAUCAGUACUCGUGUAGUAAUUUAUGUGAUCGUGAACCCCUUGAACUUUCUUUUGAUCGAGCAAAUUAUAGAAACCUGACUGUAUAAUUAUAAUAUUCUUAGACCUAUUGUUAGUAAUAAUAAUCUGUACUAUUUUGCUUUAAGUUGUGAUCUUUUGUGCUGUAGUGAAACUGUUAGACUGGGGGGAGGAGGGCAUGGCCACUACAGCAGAAACUGCUGCUUUGAGAGCAUCAUUCCGACAAGAGGUUGCUGUUUGGCACCAGCUUGACCAUCCAAAUGUGACAAAAGUAUAUUCCUGACCCAGCUUCUUCAUUAGAAGUUUGUUUGUUCUGUUAAUUUAAUGUAAAUUUCAGUUUGUUUUGAAAAUUUACUCUCCUAUUUAAUGAUGACUAGUUUUACUGUCAUUUCUUACUGGAAAUCAUAUUGCUUUUUUACUUUUUCUUAUCACUUUUUGGUAAAACAAUUUUACUGAAGUACACUAUAUUUUUUUUUCAGUUUAUUGGUGCUUCAAUGGGAACUUCUGAUCUUAAGAUUCCUUCCAAAACCUCUUCAUCUGCAAGUGAUGGUUUAGAUAACCUUCCUGCAAGGGCAUGUUGUGUUGUCGUGGAAUUUGUUCCAGGAGGAACACUAAAAAGCUUACUGUACAAGAACAGGAAGAAGAAACUUGCA
Molecule: long non-coding RNA, 10838 nt
Filed under: Daucus carota (carrot)
Lineage: Eukaryota; Viridiplantae; Streptophyta; Magnoliopsida; Apiales; Apiaceae
Description: long non-coding RNA (DCAR_LNC000513)
Source: RNAcentral